UACACAUGCAAGUCNAACGGCAGCAUANGAGCUUGCUCCUGAUGGCGAGUGGCGAACGGGUGAGUAAUAUAUCGGAACGUGCCCUANAGUGGGGGAUAACUANUCNAAAGAUUAGCUAAUACCGCAUACNAUCUACGGAUGAAANUGGGGGAUC
This 154-nucleotide ribosomal RNA is filed under the name Herbaspirillum seropedicae. RNAcentral's name for it is "partial 16S ribosomal RNA". It matches the Rfam family "Bacterial small subunit ribosomal RNA", at positions 50 to 202 of the family's 1533-position model. Lineage: Bacteria; Pseudomonadati; Pseudomonadota; Betaproteobacteria; Burkholderiales; Oxalobacteraceae. The record is from RNAcentral.